This is a long non-coding RNA of Passer domesticus (house sparrow), 5856 nucleotides long. RefSeq lists it as uncharacterized. The transcript has 16 exons. The record is from RefSeq and is a predicted model, not a curated record. Lineage: Eukaryota; Metazoa; Chordata; Aves; Passeriformes; Passeridae.
CAGAGCUCCUGAAGCUUUUCCUGAGUGAAAGCUUUAAAAAAGCUCCAUUCUAAAUUACAUCACACGAGCUGUUCUCUUCAGACUGACAGAACAAAAGCAGGAGGGGGGGGGGAAAUGCCAAAAGUACCAUCUGAAUGACUUGAGUUGCACAGGAUGAUUUACCUCCUCAUGCUUUAUCAGAGCAGGGAAACAUCUUGACCUUGCCUACCAAAGCCUCAUCAGUGUCCUCUAAAUAGCAGAGAAAGUUUGCAUUGUGUGUGUUUCCAGUACAAACAGAAUCACAGAAUGGUUUGGGUUGGAGGGGACCUUAAGUAUCAUACUAUUCCCAGCCUCCUGCCAUGGGCAGGGACACCUUCCCCCAGCUGAGGGUUCUCAGAGCUCCAUCAGCCUGGUCUUGAACAUUUCCAGGGAUGGGGCAUUCACAACUUCUCUGCAUAACCAGUACCAGUGUCUUGCUGUCUUCAUAGUAAAACAUCUCUUCCUAAUAUCAAGUCUAAACCUACUCUUCAGAUUUAAACCAUUCCCCCUUAUCUAUCACUUCAUGCUUUUGUCAAAAGCCCACUCCCAGCUCUUUUGGAGGUCCUCAUGAGGUACUGAAUCCAUCAGGUGUGGGCUUUUGAUGGCAACAAUGGGGUCUUGGGUGUCCAUUCCUAGUGGGGCCAUGGUGCUUUCUAAAAUUUUUGGACGAUGUGGUUUCUAACACAGCCAGCUCGUUGCUACUGGAAGAGCCCAGCCUGUGGGUGCUGCCCAGCCUGGUGUACUCGUCCUUUAAUCAGCAGCACCCCAAUUAAUGGUCAUGGUGAGCACUGCUGAGGGCCACUGCCAAAAUCUGAAAGGUCUCUUGGGUUGGCUCCAUCUGGGAUGCUCCAAAUGACAUUUUCAGAAGUAAUUGGAGCAGAUAAGCAUUACCCACUUCUGGAGUGGCUGGGUAGAAAGCAGAUAAAUUGGCAUAUCUCCCCAUUCUAAAGGCUUUCAGAUGGUGUUAAUUGGUAUGAGAAGCCUCAGUUAGGAAAACAUCCUCAGCUGGGAGGGGAGAGGGCCACAGGCCUUGCAUCUUCUUUAGCAGAUAAAUAGAGGAAAGAGGGCAAACAACAUCAUGGCAGCUCUCCAGGGAAUGCAGCAAUUUUCACACAGUUGCUACAACUUGUCUUACCCAAAAGGGCAGAGACUGCUUGGGGAUCCUGAUUCACUGAUGCAGCAUUGAACCCUGAUUUUUGAGACCAGGCUGUGGGAAGUUUUGGUGAAGACAGGAAUAGUCUGCUCCUGUGUUGGGAUGUACCAUGAAGAAAAGUGACCCAGUCUCACCCAAUGGGACUAACACUGGAAUAAGAUGAGGCCCUGGCUGGACCAAAUUCAGCAGCAGUGGCUGGAGACACAACCCCACAUGUGCAGGUCGGCGCUGAGUGCAGGCAUAAAUGUAUCUGCAUGCUGAGGUGCAGCAAGUGGCAGAAACAUCUCCAGAACACCUAAAAAAUCUGUGCUUCCAAGAGGGGAUGUGCUAUCUGACCCAUAGGAAGCUCUCUGCACUCAAGGAACCAGCCACCAGGAUUUUUGGACUAUUUUACAUGGUCCACAAGAGGGAACUCUGCCUUGGGCAGAAGUACAUCAUUUUCACGUGAGUGGCUGUGGAGUCCAUCUUGUUGUUCUCAUUGUUUCAUCUGCUCUUUUUACAACCCUGGAUUUGGGAAUGCUGACAUAACUAAGGUUCACACCAAGGCCUCCUGUUUGAAAAAUGUAUGUGUGCUCCUGAACCUAAUGUAUAUGCAUAUUCAGUGUGACUGCAUAUGGAAAUGGAGCAUCCAUGCCAAGAGUUUUCCAGCCAAGAGGCUUUUUGCAUGUCUCCAGGUCUGCCUUAGAAAGGCACCGGAAGAAAGGAAGGAAAAUGAGGUUAUCCCAUAAAAUAAUCUACUACUAUUUGGCUUUGCUGAAUGGCACCACUUGUCCACAGAAGUGCUCUGAACCUCAAACUUAGAGCCUCAAUGAUGCACCUGGAGCUCUGCAUGUGGAAUCCAGCAAGGUUCCUCGAGGCUCGCACCAUCUUCUCACGUAGGUCUGUGAGCAGUGCUCCCUCCAGAGCUGAAGGCAGAUGGUCGCUGGGGAGCCCGGUGCCAGGUCUGGGUGACAGGAGCGGAAAGGCAAGGACAGCCACAGCCGGAUGAGACACUUCUCUUCCUCUCUGGAUGCUGCACGCUGAAAACGCCAGAGACACGUCAGCCAGAGAUGGGGCUGGGGGCCGGAGCUGCGUCAGAAGCAGCCCUGCUCCUGCGGGGGUGGAAGAGGAGCCCUGACUCCCGAGGAAGGUCAAGGCCGGCCGGCAAACAACCCGGGCAAGAAACCCCCAGAUGGAUAAACAAUCCAGACAUCUGGUGAGAUCCCGGCAUUGCUGCAAUCAGGGAGGUUUUGGCACCGGCUUUGACACUGCCAGGAUUUCCCUUGCAAUUAGCAGCGUGCAGCCUGUCUGGGGAGGAUGUUCCCUCCGGAAAGCUGCUGGGACCAGGCUGAAAAUCGAGCUUAAUCUCUGUGAAGCAAAGAAUAACACCCAGUUAGUCUCUGGCUCCCCAAAUAUCAGAAAAUUAUUAACUGGAACUCAACAAAUAUUAGAUGCUACUGAUAACUAACUACUAAUAACUAAGUGGCUUGGUUGCUACCAAGAUUUCUUAAGGGGCUCACAGUGGGGCCACAAGGAGAGCAGUGGAACAGACUUGGAGCAGCCAUGAGAAGGGAUUCAGUAUGGCAAAGGCAGCAUAAACCUCAGUGCAUGUGGAAGUGUCUGCAUCCCCUUCACAGCAUCAGAAAGUAAGGAGGUGUUUAUAAACAAUGCAAAGUUCUGGGCUGAAGAAGACAGAGGAGAGGAUAAUCUAAAGGCUUUUUGAUAGCUGCUGCAAGCCUGUCUUUUAUCUCUUCUAUUCAGCCUGAGAAUAACGGCUGAAAUCUAACAUCUGGUGUAACUGUACAAACCUGACCUUAGGUCACAAUUGAACCUCUCUCAUUCCAACCCCUCUGCCACGGGCAGGGACACUUUCCACUAGACCAGGCUGAUCCAAGCCCCACCUGACCAGGCUUUGAACACUUCAGGAUGGAGCAGCCACAGCUUCUCUGGGCAAUCUGCGCCAAGUUCUCACCACCCUCACAGCCUACAGCUAAAAAGCUUCACCCCAAAAGCUUCGUUGCCCAAAAGAAGCUGUGCUGCAAACCCACCUCAAAAGGCCCAGAACACCUGGUUUCAGGCACAACAGGAAGAUCAGAACAUACCUUAUCAUAAAUAUGCAUACGCGACGCAGGAGCCCGCCACCUUCUUGGAGUGAUGCCAUAAUUGACGGAACAAAGUACAACAAGACUUCACAUCACUGGUGGAUCAGAAGAACAGAGACAGCAGAGCUGAGAUUGUGUUGUGGCUGGAGCAUGACAUUACAUCCAUCCCAUGGUACCAAGAGAACUUGGCUGCAUUUGGCUGAAGUUCUGUGAGCACCACUCCUGCAGCACCAUCCUGCUCUCAAGUCACUGCAUAUUUAAAAGCUCAUCUGAGGUAUGAGUCACUUCCAUCAAAAGAGGAGGAUGCCUUGAUCUGUGUGCGAGCGAGCUGUGGAACAGCAGCUGUUGGAGCAAAUACAAACAUCCAUGCCAAGGAUUGUAAGGAUGUAGUUUAUCUAAUAUGUAAAAAAACCACCUGCUGCAAAUGAAAAAUUACACCCACAACCACCUGAAUAAGAUAAGCAAAUGAUGGGGGAAAUGAAGAGACAGGUUUAUUAUUAAUGUAAGUUGGAACUUUUGAACCAAACAUCUCUUUUUGCAAUGGAACAGUAGGAUGCACAAGGAAAUAGCACUCCCUGCCCCAGACCUGCUCAGCAGAAUUUAUUUUGCCUAAGUGAUUUUCUUUUCUUUGCUAAGUCUGGUAGAGAUGAAAACACUAACCCAAAGAAGAUAAUUAAAAGCUAAAUGAAACCACAUACAGCUGUGCUACUACAUGGCUAAUGAACAUGCAAAUAUAUACAUAUGACAAGGACAUAAUGCGGGCUGGCUGCCUUGAGUGGUUAGUGCAGAUUUCCAAGAGCUGGAAAUGCUAUUGAUUAUAACUGAGCUAAACUUCCUGACUCCAGACUUCAAAGAUCAGCCUCAAUAUAAUCAUCAGGCAGCAUAUGGGAGCGUGGCUGCAAGGAGCUGAUGAAUAAUGGCUCGGGGGACUGAAUGUUUGCACGUAGGGUGGGAGAUGUCCUGGAGAUGUCCUCUGGGCUGUGGGGUGCAGGCUCCUUGGCAGCCAGGACCAGCACCACAGAAUCCUCGUCAGCAUCUUGGCAUACCCGGUCCUGCUGACAAUUAGGGUUUUGGAGUUAUGGGUUUUAGCUGGGAUAUUUAUUUUUCCUUUCCCACUUCACUUGGCAAGAGGCUGAUAUGUGGUGGAGACAUUUUUGGGAGGACCAGGGAGGGAGGUAACAGAUACAAGGCAAAGCUUCUGGGGUCCUAUAAACAGGAGCACGAGCAGCAUGGAAAGGCUCUCUCUCCUCUGAGGGUCUGCUGCUACAUCCACAUGGAAGAAAAAUCUGAUUUCCCUUAUUAAUUAAAAGCCACCCAGCUGAGAGUAACUCCCCAGCCCACUCAGAGAUGAGAGAAGGAAGUCAGGGCUCAGCCCUGCACCAGGUUCUUCCACAGAAGGGACCUGGUUCCACUGCCACCUUGUGCCCCCUUCACUGGCCACAGUACCACUGUAAUAUCCACUGGAAAUACCACAGAGAAAAACUCUCUCCUCCUCCAUGACGACCACAGAAAGGCCACACAGACUUGGGCAUGGCCAGGAGAGAAGCGUGGAGGGAUGGAGCACAGCCUGAGAUGUGGAUGGAGAUGACUGAUCCACCAGGAUGGCUGAGAGAAGGGGCACCUACCAAAAAAAGAAACCAAAGAAACCAAAUUUGUGCAGAACACAAUGGUUAGUGCAUAAAAAUUAAUCAAGUACUACAAUGACUUGCUUUAUUCAUAAUACUUAAUGGUCAUGUAAUAGGAGUUUUUAUUCAGCAGUUAAAGUUCAUAAGUGCAGGUUUUACAUGUAGAAAGGUAUUAUGCUGAUAGUUUAAUUACACACCUUUCUGCACACCAAAGGAAAUGGGUUAUGCGGGUUUUAUAAUUAAAGACGGACUUCUGAGGGGAAAUGAACUUUGCAGUUAGCAACAUAAUAUUUGAUUUUUAUCAGAUGUUUUUGUUUUGAAUUUGCCAGCACUUGGUGGUGUAAACAGGUGAGAGUGCUCCAGACUGCAUGAGGUGUCAGGAGAAGCUUUGAAAAUGCAGCAGAAAGUAGCCAUAUUUAAAAAUAGCCAGUGUGAGCAUGAGGUAUAAACAUCAUGUGUUUGGAAAGCUCUCCAGACUCUGCCCAUGCAAUUAUGCACACUGCAAGUCUGUCCAGGACGUCUAGGAAACAGGGGAAAAAACCCAACCCAACAAGUAAGUGAAAAAUAAACCCCACUGCUUGCCAAAAUAAUAAAAAACUUCACUUUUUAUUUCUCUGAUUUUUGUUUUAAAUUCAUUUCAUGGCCAGUGAAUACAAUUUUCCCCUCCUGCCUGCCUACAGAGGCAGCAAAGCCAAAAAUGUGAUGGAUGUUUGUGUGUGCACGUUUGCUGUUGGAAUACACAGGACCACUCUCAAUAUUAAAGGCAAAGAGUGGCUUGAGCCACUGCCAGGUCACAGCCAGCUCCUGCCAUUUCCUAAUAACCAUGUGGAAGUCUGUACUCAACAAGGUGGGGCUGGGGAGGUCUGCAGUGCCUGGGAUUCCCCCUUUUUAAGUUUUAGGAGGGUUUAUUUAGCAUAACCUUAUUCCUAUAUACAUAUUAAAGCACAUUAAAAGUAUAUGUGGGAAUAUAUAUAUAUAU